AGUAAAGUUUUAUAGAAAAUUUCAUUGACUUUCAAAGAUAUUACAAAAUUUGUACUAACUUUAAAUGUAGCUUUCAGAAAAUCAAGAAAACCUGCACUAUCAAACGGUUAAAAUAAUAAAUGACGAUAAAUUUUCAAAGAAGCCAACCAUCAAUGUGCGAAAGCCUUUUCAACAGUUGGACAAUCGUAUUAACAUUAGAAAAAAACCAGCGUCAACAUCAA
Diorhabda carinulata is the source of this 221-nucleotide long non-coding RNA. RefSeq lists it as uncharacterized. The record is from RefSeq and is a predicted model, not a curated record. The transcript is spliced from 2 exons. NCBI's taxonomy places the organism in Eukaryota, Metazoa, Arthropoda, Insecta, Coleoptera, Chrysomelidae.